GUUUGGUUUUUUUUUUUGUACUGCAGAUCUAACUUGGGUCCCUGCGCUUGUGAGGCAGGCGGCAGAACCACUAAGCUAAAUCCCCAGCCCCAAGGUCCAAUUUUCUUAAAGAAAAACAGUCAGGAGGUUCUUGAUAGGAGCAGGUGGCAAUAGAGGUUGGGAUGGCAAUGACAAAUAUUCAUGUUAUUGGCCCACUCCUGGGAUCUCUUACUGAGUAUGUUAAAUGCAGCAUUUUCACCCAAUGCCUGGCUCGUUUUCUUUAGUUUUAUCCACCCAACUGUGAGAGCAAAAUGAUUCUGGUUAUUCCUGGUUCUGGUAUCCCCUGACAACCCCUUCCCCUCAGUGACCAAGAAGAAGUUUUUGCAGGGGCCAGUAACAGCCAUCAAUCUGAGGGGAGACUGCAGUGCUUCAAAGAGAACGUGAAUCAUCAGAAGACUGGAACUUCAGAGGUUUCUGGUUCUCUGCAUUAUAGCUAAGUCCUUUAGAACUGAGAACAGUCUUACUAUGAUGACAAACACAUAAAACACAGUUCCAAGCCUCUCACUUGCUUGCAUCUCAGAAAUGUGUUCACAAGACUUUGUGUUUUUGGGAAACUUGAAAAAGCAAGGUAUUUUUCCCCAGCAAGUAAGUGUGAAGUCUUUCUUCAUCCUAACUUCUCUGUCACACCUCCUCCCAUGUUGGGUAGCUCUGAACUGGCCAUGAGCAUUUUGGGGAUCCAAGCAAGGGGACAUUGUUAGAGGCACUUUCAGUUUGGGCUCAUGAGUUGCAACUGAGUGGUGUGCAGUUGCUUCCUUCUAUAAUUAGAUUAUGACUACUCAUCUAGAAAUAGUCCUGUUAUUCAUUCAGAAUUAUGUAGAAUGGUAAAGGGCCCAAGAUUACAUUAUGUCACAAUAGGAAAACGUUCCAUAGUGCCUGGCACUGGGAGUAGUGCUGGAGAAAUAAAGUUGGACCUGGGUAGAGCCAUAUGUCAGCUUGUGAGAAAAAAUCUUCUGUUUGUCAGAAAUCAGGAAAGAACUAUGAUGAAGCCAAUGAAAAUGAUCUCUACAUAGGUGUAAAGAUAAACCCGAGCAACAUAAAGGUUGUUUCUGAACUCAACAUCCCAGUCUGCCACCAGCUAAAGACUCCCUCUCUGACCUGGGACAUGUGUAUGGAAAAGCUUUUGGUGAUGAGUUUCCCAUGUUGAAUUUGUAAUCUAGUGAGAUUAUUGGGGGCAGGGGUUGUCUUUGUGUACACAUCUGAGCCACUAUGUGUGUGGCCCACCAGGGAGCAUCAGAAGCUUCUACACUGAGGUCACCUGAGGAUAACUGACAAUCAUGAAUUACAAGACCCUCAUCUCUCCCUCAAAAUAACUUAUUUCUAAAGAUUCUCCCAAAUUAUAAAGAGAUCAAUUAAUGUAGAAGUCUCAAAGGCACUCUG
Long non-coding RNA from Heterocephalus glaber (naked mole-rat), 1416 nucleotides. Lineage: Eukaryota; Metazoa; Chordata; Mammalia; Rodentia; Bathyergidae. The record is from Ensembl.